Molecule: ribosomal RNA, 581 nt
Filed under: uncultured bacterium
Lineage: Bacteria
Description: partial 16S ribosomal RNA
Rfam family: Bacterial small subunit ribosomal RNA
Source: RNAcentral
UGGGGAAUAUUGCACAAUGGGCGCAAGCCUGAUGCAGCCAUGCCGCGUGUGUGAAGAAGGCCUUCGGGUUGUAAAGCACUUUCAGCGAGGAGGAAGGUGGUGAGCUUAAUACGCUCAUCAAUUGACGUUACUCGCAGAAGAAGCACCGGCUAACUCCGUGCCAGCAGCCGCGGUAAUACGGAGGGUGCAAGCGUUAAUCGGAAUUACUGGGCGUAAAGCGCACGCAGGCGGUUUGUUAAGUCAGAUGUGAAAUCCCCGGGCUCAACCUGGGAACUGCAUUUGAAACUGGCAAGCUAGAGUCUCGUAGAGGGGGGUAGAAUUCCAGGUGUAGCGGUGAAAUGCGUAGAGAUCUGGAGGAAUACCGGUGGCGAAGGCGGCCCCCUGGACGAAGACUGACGCUCAGGUGCGAAAAGCGUGGGGAGCAAAACAGGAUUAGAUACCCCUGGUAGUCCACGCUGUAAAACGAUGUCGAUUUUGGAGGUUGUGCCCUUGAGGCGUGGCUUCCGGAGCUAACGCGUUAAAGUCGACCGCCUGGGGAGUACGGCCGCAAGGUUAAAACUCAAAGGAAUUGACGGGGUCUA